GAUGAACGCUGGCGGCGUGCCUAAUACAUGCAAGUCGAGCGGAAGGACGCGACGCUUGCUUCUCUGAUGUUAGCGGAGGACGGGUGAGUAACACGUGGAUCCCCUCCCUAUAAGACUGAGAUCACUACGGAAAACCGUAUCUAAUACCGGAUAAUAUUUUGAUCCGCAUGGUUCAAAGGUGAAAGACGGUCUUGCUGUCACUUAUAGAUGGAUCCGCGCUGCAUUAGCUAGUUGGUAAGGUAAUGGCUUACCAAGGCAACGAUGCAUAACCGACCUGUGAGAGGGAUAGCCGACACGGGAACGGGGCCGCGCACCUGACGCCUACGAGAGGCAGCAGAAUGGAAUCGGCGGCAAUAGGGGAAAGCAUGACGGAGCAAGGCCACGUGUGUGAUGAAGGUCUUGGGAGCGUAAUACUGUGUUUCGAGGUAAGAACAGAUGUGUAAGGAACCGUACACAGCGUGACGGUACCUAAUAAGAAAGCAACGGCUAACUACGUG
Molecule: ribosomal RNA, 497 nt
Filed under: uncultured bacterium
Lineage: Bacteria
Description: partial 16S ribosomal RNA
Rfam family: Bacterial small subunit ribosomal RNA
Source: RNAcentral